UACGGGGGGGGCAAGCGUUGUUCGGAAUUACUGGGCGUAAAGGGUUCGUAGGUGGCCUACUAAGUCAGACGUGAAAUCCCUCAGCUUAACUGGGGAACUGCGUCUGAUACUGGGGGGCUUGAGUGCAGGAGAGGAACGCGGAAUUCCAGGUGUAGCGGUGAAAUGCGUAGAUAUCGGGAGGAACACCAGCGGCGAAGGCGGCGAUCUGGGGCGAUACUGACGCUGAGGUGCGAAAGCGUGGGGAGCAAACAGG
RNAcentral lists this ribosomal RNA (253 nucleotides) under uncultured bacterium. RNAcentral describes it as "partial 16S ribosomal RNA". It matches the Rfam family "Bacterial small subunit ribosomal RNA", at positions 524 to 776 of the family's 1533-position model. The record is from RNAcentral.